CAUUACAAGUAUUAGAGGCAAUGCCUGCCCAGUGACUAAGGUUAAACGGCCGCGGUAUUCUGACCGUGCAAAGGUAGCAUAAUCACUUGUUCCUUAAUUAGGGACUAGAAUGAACGGCUAAACGAGGGUUUGACUGUCUCUUAUUUUCCAUCAGUGAAAUUGACCUUCCCGUGAAGAGGCGGGAAUAACACAACUAGACGAGAAGACCCUAUGGAGCUUUAAUUUAUUGGCUUAAUUUCAACAACUUAAAAAUCUAAUGAAAACAAAAAACUGAAAAAUAAACCAAUGAUUUAGGUUGGGGUGACCUCGGAGAAUAAAAAAACCUCCGAAAGAUCAUGAUCAAGACUGACAGGUCAAAAUAAGCUCCCCUAUCACAAUCGACCCAUUAAUUUUGAUCGACGAACCAAGUUACCCUAGGGAUAACAGCGCAAUCCUAUUCAAGAGUUCAUAUCGAAAAUAGGGUUUACGACCUCGAUGUUGGAUCAGGAUAUCCCAAUGGUGCAGCAGCUAUUAAUGGUUCGUUUGUUCAACGAUUA
RNAcentral lists this ribosomal RNA (536 nucleotides) under Meriones tamariscinus (Tamarisk jird). RNAcentral describes it as "partial large subunit ribosomal RNA". It matches the Rfam family "Bacterial large subunit ribosomal RNA", at positions 1835 to 2590 of the family's 2925-position model. The record is from RNAcentral. Lineage: Eukaryota; Metazoa; Chordata; Mammalia; Rodentia; Muridae.